Rana temporaria (common frog) is the source of this 522-nucleotide long non-coding RNA. RefSeq lists it as uncharacterized. The record is from RefSeq and is a predicted model, not a curated record. The transcript is spliced from 3 exons. NCBI's taxonomy places the organism in Eukaryota, Metazoa, Chordata, Amphibia, Anura, Ranidae.
CGAGGGGUUACAGGAGUCAAACGGCGCCGCAUCAUUGGGCGGUUACCCCGCACCAAUGCAGACGCCUCCCUUCUCCUCCCCCUCGUAUGCGUGUCUCUGGGCGGGUAACAUUGGGGGGGUGGUCCCUAUAAGAGGGUGUAACCUAUGGCAGGUACAGGCAUUUGGCUCUUCACAUGUCAUCACUCCAUGCAGCACACUCGGAACUCACAGCCAUCAUUCCUUACCGACCACAGUGCAUUCAAUACACCAUGCCUCAUGCCUGUGCCACCUGGGUGCGCUCUCCUGACGGGCCCUGCACCCCUCAUUCUCCAGCCCUAGUCCCCGGCAGUGACCACCCCAAUCCUGGGGUCCAUCCGGAGCUUCACUCUAGUGCCAGCGGCAAUCGGCAACCUGAUAACCAAUGUAAUGCAUGCCUGCUCCUGAUGAGCGACCAACAGUCGCGAAACGCGUAGAGCUCUAUACCUCAUGCAUUAAUGUAUUAUCACUGCAGUGUCAUGCGAUGUAAUUUCCAUUUUAAUAUGU